CUCUCUCUCUCUCUCUCUCUCUCUCUCUCUCUCUUGCAACCAUGAGCAGGGCAGACGACAGCGUUGAGCGACGGCGAGCAGCGGCAGGCGACAGCGUCGAGUGACGACAGCGAUGGCGUGAGACGGUAUCGAGCAGCGGCAUACAACGACGUCAAGCAACAACGAGCAGUGGCAGACGACGGCGCCGAGCAAUGGCGAGCAGCGUGAGACAGCGAGUAGCGGCAAACGACAGCAACGUGAACCAGGUACAGGUGAUAUGCUUCCACCAAGGCAAUAGCGUGGAUGGACAUAUGGGAAUCAAGAGCUUCUGUUGUUAUGUUUGUUAUAUGUUUAGCCAAUGGCUUAUUUGUAAUGAGUUGUGCUCUCUUUUGUGUAACCAAGCAAUAGCUUGAGAAUAUGUAAGCCUACAAGGCAUUUGACUGUACAUUAAACUUUUAUAAAUAAAUUCCGAUGUAUGAAAGUAUGUUAUUUCUCAUA
Camellia sinensis is the source of this 477-nucleotide non-coding RNA. The record is from RefSeq and is a predicted model, not a curated record. Lineage: Eukaryota; Viridiplantae; Streptophyta; Magnoliopsida; Ericales; Theaceae.